This 1204-nucleotide long non-coding RNA is filed under the name Gossypium barbadense (sea-island cotton). RNAcentral describes it as "long non-coding RNA (GBAR_LNC005605)". The record is from RNAcentral. Lineage: Eukaryota; Viridiplantae; Streptophyta; Magnoliopsida; Malvales; Malvaceae.
AGGGUCACAGGCAAUGCCAGACCAGUUGCAGUGAUGAUUAGCCACCGUCCAAUCUGCAAGUGCUCCUAAAGGGUCAUGAGUGACAGAUCUUUUGAACGCCUGAAGCGCCUCAACUUCAACUUCCAAGCUUGGUUCGGCAUGCAGCACAGUAAGUAAAACAGAACAAACUAUAACAAUGAUUAAACUGACACAUUUUGACAUCACUGCUAGCUAAGGUAAUGGUAAUGCUGAAGCUGGUUUGAAAGGAACUAUCGUAACUGAUGAUGAAUUUGGAUUCAAAGUCAGGCUUAUAUGCAAAUUUCAACCAAUCUUUGAUCCCUGGAAGCCAAAAUGAGUGUCAUAUCAUUGACCUUUUAACUCAAUCCAGAAUAUGAUAACAAACUGAAUUGUCUUUGACAGUGAAAAGAUACGUACAAAGUUCAAACCCCACCUAUGUUCAGAAGCUAAGAAGGAGAGGAUUUCAAGUCUAAACACUUGACUGACCCACCUACCAGCGAAAGUGUGUAUUAAUACAAGUGGGAGAUGGUAAUGAUAAUGUCGUUUAGUGAGUGUAAUCAAUGGGAAUCUAGAACGUGACGUGGGAAUCCGGGAAACUCCACUCUUCCAACUAGUAAAUGCUUAGUUGACUCCGCAGCAAAUGUUGAAUGUGUAAAUGUAGGUAAUGGCGGUAGCACCAUUAUGGCAAGUUGAACGAAAAAUGCCAAUGGAAGGAUGGGUUGGGAUUUUAUACUUGGUGCCAAAAGGAUAAUGUCUAAUUUUGUGCUAGCACAUGGUACGUAGUUUCCAUCUCUAUCAUUAAUAUAUCACAGUAAACACAUACAAUUAGAGUAAAAAAAUCUAAUGUAAUCCAUGGUUUUCUGAAUUUUGCAGAAUUUAUUGCGACUGAUUUGCAAUAAUAAAGCCAGAUUAAGCUAUGGUCCAAGGAAUCUGACAACCUAUUCAGAUUUGCGUCUGUUAUCACCAAAUCCUAUCUUCAAUUGAUUCUGGUUUGAUCCACGGUUUCUGAGCAACUUGGACUGCCUUUUUUCGUUUCAUUUUUUUAAUAAGGUUUAAUUCCGAACUAUGCGUGUAUUAUUUUUUUUCUUGGAUUAGUAUUAAUAUAUCAAUUUGUUAUUUGGCUCGGUCGCAUUGAGCUGCAAUCAAAUUGUGGGAUGUGGUAAUUAAAUUUAUUUAAAAUAAAAAAGUUAAAUUUAAAUUUUAAAAA